This 301-nucleotide ribosomal RNA is filed under the name uncultured bacterium. RNAcentral's name for it is "partial 16S ribosomal RNA". It matches the Rfam family "Bacterial small subunit ribosomal RNA", at positions 509 to 807 of the family's 1533-position model. The record is from RNAcentral.
CAGUCGCCACGGUAAUACGAAGGGUGCAAGCGUUAAUCGGAAUUACUGGGCGUAAAGCGCGCGUAGGUGGUUUGGUAAGAUGGAUGUGAAAUCCCCGGGCUCAACCUGGGAACUGCAUCCAUAACUGCCUGACUAGAGUACGGUAGAGGGUGGUGGAAUUUCCUGUGUAGCGGUGAAAUGCGUAGAUAUAGGAAGGAACACCAGUGGCGAAGGCGACCACCUGGACUGAUACUGACACUGAGGUGCGAAAGCGUGGGGAGCAAACAGGAUUAGAUACCCGCGUAGUCCCUGUCUCUUAUAC